This 395-nucleotide long non-coding RNA is filed under the name Mytilus galloprovincialis (Mediterranean mussel). Lineage: Eukaryota; Metazoa; Mollusca; Bivalvia; Mytilida; Mytilidae. The record is from RNAcentral.
UAUCCGAUGAAAUUAAUUCCGUAUUUGAAAUUUUCUGGAAUUUGCGAUAGGUAAUUUUUUUCAAAAUUGUCUAUAAUCCUUUUACCAGAAAAAAAAUCGAACCUGAAAUUCACUCAAAUGUUGGACGUGUAUCACUAUAUACAAAUGACAUAGUUUUAUGUCUGAUCAGUAUGUUCCUUAAUUUAAGCCUUACUGAUGUCGCUUCUCCAAACCGCUGUUUUGAGUAUUUUAUAAUAUAAAAAUACAUAGAAUAUGAUGUUUACAAAUUGGUAAAGUUAAAAAGGUGCACAGUUGUAAGGUAUUUUGUUAGCAACUUCGAUUGAUAUUUUAUGCAAAAUGUUAAUAUAACACUUUGGUAUUGCAAUCUUUUUAUUUUUUUAGUUAAGCAAAUGAAA